RNAcentral lists this long non-coding RNA (432 nucleotides) under Nicotiana benthamiana. Its description in RNAcentral is "long non-coding RNA (NBEN_LNC028001)". The record is from RNAcentral. Lineage: Eukaryota; Viridiplantae; Streptophyta; Magnoliopsida; Solanales; Solanaceae.
UUAAAAGGAAAGAUUUCAUAACCAAAAGUUUAGUUAUGAAUCUACAAACUCUGGUGUCGUCAAUUAGGGUUCUUCUCAUAAGAGUGAAAAAAAAUAAUGGAGCUACCACAGUAGCAUUCUGCAGCCGAUGAUGAGGGCAUGGAUCUAACGGUGAGUGUUACACGAUUGCAGGAAUUCAAGAAGAAUUCGAGGAUCGUAGCACUACUCCAGGAAUGAAUCGAGGAAGCAGUAGAGAAUGUUAGAUUUCUAGAAGAAGAGAGAAGUAGAGAAGAAGAAGAAGAAGAAGAAGAAGAAGAAGAAGAAGAAGAAGAAGAAAAAGAAGAAGAAGAAGAAGAAGAAUAGAGAGAUAUAGGGGAAAUGAUGUAACUGUAAUUCAUAUCUGAAAUGUUGUUUAAAAUCCAUAUGUAAUGAUUCAUACAUUCUCCAUGUAGC